Molecule: ribosomal RNA, 253 nt
Filed under: uncultured bacterium
Lineage: Bacteria
Description: partial 16S ribosomal RNA
Rfam family: Bacterial small subunit ribosomal RNA
Source: RNAcentral
UACGUAGGGGGCAAGCGUUGUCCGGAUUUAUUGGGCGUAAAGAGCGUGUAGGCGGCCAGACAGGUCCGUUGUGAAAACUCGAGGCUCAACCUCCAGACGUCGAUGGAAACCGUCUGGCUAGAGUCCGGAAGAGGAGAGUGGAAUUCCUGGUGUAGCGGUGAAAUGCGCAGAUAUCAGGAAGAACACCCGUGGCGAAAGCGGCUCUCUGGGACGGUACUGACGCUGAGACGCGAAAGCGUGGGGAGCGAACAGG